This 684-nucleotide ribosomal RNA is filed under the name Triticum aestivum (bread wheat). Its description in RNAcentral is "partial small subunit ribosomal RNA". Lineage: Eukaryota; Viridiplantae; Streptophyta; Magnoliopsida; Poales; Poaceae. The record is from RNAcentral.
AUGGCGCCGCCGCGGAUGAACCUGGUCGACGACGACGUCCUCGCGGAGAUCCUCCUCCGCCUCCCGCCGGACGAGCCCGAGCACCUCUUCCGCGCCGCCCUCGUCUGCAAGCCCUCGCUCCGCGUCAUCUGCCUCCCCGCCUUCCGCACCCAGUACCGCGCCUUCCACGGAGCCCCUCCGCUGCUCGGCCUCCUCUACCGGAACCAGGUCUGCGACGGGGAUCCGGCCCCGCGCUUCGCCUCCACCACCUCGAUGCCCGACUUCCCCCACCCGGCCUCCGACCGCUGCCCCGCGCGCCCCCUCGACUGCCGCCACGGCCGCGUCCUCCUCCACAUGUCCCACGAUUCGGAUGUGGAUCUCCUCGUCUGGGACCCCGUCACCGGAGACCGCCGCGUCGUGCCCGAGCCGGACAUCGACUGGAUGGUCUACACCGCCGCCGUGCUCUGCGCCACCGCCGGCUGCGACCACCUCGACUGCCACGGCGGCCCCUUCCGCGUGGUCUUCCUGGCCACCGAUGACCGCGAGGAGGUCGUCCAGGCAACCGUGUACUCGUCGGCGACAGCUGCGUGGAGUCCGCCGGUGUCUCUUGACGAUAGCUGUGAAUGCUAUGCCCGGCACAAGCGAGACGCAACUGCAGAAAUGAUGUUCUUCUCCUCCUACAUACCCUAUGUCCAGCCCAGGUGA